AGUCGAGCGGUAGAGAGAAGCUUGCUUCUCUUGAGAGCGGCGGACGGGUGAGUAAUGCCUAGGAAUCUGCCUGGUAGUGGGGGAUAACGUUCGGAAACGGACGCUAAUACCGCAUACGUCCUACGGGAGAAAGCAGGGGACCUUCGGGCCUUGCGCUAUCAGAUGAGCCUAGGUCGGAUUAGCUAGUUGGUGGGGUAAUGGCUCACCAAGGCGACGAUCCGUAACUGGUCUGAGAGGAUGAUCAGUCACACUGGAACUGAGACACGGUCCAGACUCCUACGGGAGGCAGCAGUGGGGAAUAUUGGACAAUGGGCGAAAGCCUGAUCCAGCCAUGCCGCGUGUGUGAAGAAGGUCUUCGGAUUGUAAAGCACUUUAAGUUGGGAGGAAGGGCAGUAAAUUAAUACUUUGCUGUUUUGACGUUACCGACAGAAUAAGCACCGGCUAACUCUGUGCCAGCAGCCGCGGUAAUACAGAGGGUGCAAGCGUUAAUCGGAAUUACUGGGCGUAAAGCGCGCGUAGGUGGUUCGUUAAGUUGGAUGUGAAAUCCCCGGGCUCAACCUGGGCACUGCAUUCAAAACUGACGAGCUAGAGCAUGGUAGAGGGUGGUGGAAUUUCCUGUGUAGCGGUGAAAUGCGUAGAUAUAGGAAGGAACACCAGUGGCGAAGGCGACCACCUGGACUGAUACUGACACUGAGGUGCGAAAGCGUGGGGAGCAAACAGGAUUAGAUACCCUGGUAGUCCACGCCGUAAACGAUGUCAACUAGCCGUUGGGAGCCUUGAGCUCUUAGUGGCGCAGCUAACGCAUUAAGUUGACCGCCUGGGGAGUACGGCCGCAAGGUUAAAACUCAAAUGAGUUGACGGGGGCCCGCACAAGCGGUGGAACAUGUGGUUUAAUUCGAAGCAACGCGAAGAACCUUACCAGGCCUUGACAUCCAAUGAACUUUCUAGAGAUAGAUUGGUGCCUUCGGGAACAUUGAGACAGGUGCUGCAU
RNAcentral lists this ribosomal RNA (991 nucleotides) under uncultured bacterium. RNAcentral describes it as "bacterial SSU rRNA". It matches the Rfam family "Bacterial small subunit ribosomal RNA", at positions 60 to 1046 of the family's 1533-position model. The record is from RNAcentral.